This 313-nucleotide ribosomal RNA is filed under the name uncultured Arcobacter sp. RNAcentral's name for it is "bacterial SSU rRNA". It matches the Rfam family "Bacterial small subunit ribosomal RNA", at positions 29 to 334 of the family's 1533-position model. Lineage: Bacteria; Pseudomonadati; Campylobacterota; Epsilonproteobacteria; Campylobacterales; Arcobacteraceae. The record is from RNAcentral.
AGUGAACGCUGGCGGCGUGCUUAACACAUGCAAGUCGAACGGGAACGGGUCUUAGCUUGCUAAGAUUGUCAGCUAAGUGGCGCACGGGUGAGUAAUAUAUAGUUAACCUGCCCUAGAGAGAGGGAUAACGUUUGGAAACGGACGCUAACACCUCAUAUGCCUUUAAGUCUUAAGACUGCAAGGGAAACAUUUAUGGCUCUAGGAUGAGACUAUACGGUAUCAGUUAGUUGGUGGGGUAAAGGCCUACCAAGGCGACGAUCUCUAGCUGGUCUGAGAGGAUGAUCAGCCACACUGGGACUGAGACACGGCCCUU